GGAGGGGUGCCAGAGUGGUCGAUUGGGACGGUCUUGAAAACCGUAGGUUCCGCAAGGUUCCCGUGGGUUCGAAUCCCACCCCCUCCG
Molecule: transfer RNA, 87 nt
Filed under: Planctomycetales bacterium 71-10
Lineage: Bacteria; Pseudomonadati; Planctomycetota; Planctomycetia; Planctomycetales
Also listed under: 1 other name
Description: tRNA-Ser
Rfam family: tRNA
About the family: Transfer RNA (tRNA) molecules are approximately 80 nucleotides in length.
Source: RNAcentral